Molecule: ribosomal RNA, 414 nt
Filed under: uncultured bacterium
Lineage: Bacteria
Description: bacterial SSU rRNA
Rfam family: Bacterial small subunit ribosomal RNA
Source: RNAcentral
GAACGGUGCGAAAGCACAGUGGCGACCGGNGUGAGUAACACGUGACUAACCUGCCCUUGAGUGGGGGAUAACCUCGGGAAACCGGGGCUAAUACCGCAUAAUUUCAUGAGGUGAAACUUCUCAUGAUCAAAGGAGCAAUUCGCUGAAGGAGGGGGUCGCGGCUGAUUAGCUAGUUGGUGAGGUAACGGCCCACCAAGGCAAUGAUCAGUAGCCGGCCUGAGAGGGCGCACGGCCACACUGGAACUGAAACACGGUCCAGACUCCUACGGGAGGCAGCAGUGGGGAAUUUUGCGCAAUGGGGGAAACCCUGACGCAGCAACGCCGCGUGGAGGAUGAAGUCCCUUGGGAUGUAAACUCCUUUCGAUCGGGACGAUUAUGACGGUACCGGAAGAAGAAGCACCGGCUAACUCUGUG